This 309-nucleotide unclassified non-coding RNA is filed under the name plant metagenome. RNAcentral describes it as "partial contains 5.8S ribosomal RNA, internal transcribed spacer 2, and large subunit ribosomal RNA". The stretch from base 1 to 105 matches the Rfam family "5.8S ribosomal RNA", at positions 50 to 154 of the family's 154-position model. The record is from RNAcentral.
GAAAUGCGAUAAGUAGUGUGAAUUGCAGAAUUCAGUGAAUCAUCGAAUCUUUGAACGCACAUUGCGCCCCUUGGUAUUCCAUGGGGCAUGCCUGUUCGAGCGUCAUUUGUACCCUCAAGCUCUGCUUGGUGUUGGGUGUUUGUCCCGUCUCCGCGCGUGGACUCGCCCCAAAGUGAUUGGCAGCCGGCGUACUGGUCCCGGAGCGCAGCACAGGUCGCGCAAACGAGUGCCUUGGUACGGCGGCGUCCAUAAGCCCCUCUCUCACGCUCUUGACCUCGGAUCAGGUAGGGAUACCCGCUGAACUUAAGC